CUGCGCGUAGCCUAGCGGAUUCGAGGCACUUGUUUUGGGAACAAGACGACGGGAGUUCAAAUCUCUCCGCGCAGACCA
RNAcentral lists this transfer RNA (78 nucleotides) under Acidobacteriota bacterium. RNAcentral describes it as "tRNA-Pro". It matches the Rfam family "tRNA". From Rfam's summary of the family: Transfer RNA (tRNA) molecules are approximately 80 nucleotides in length. The record is from RNAcentral. Lineage: Bacteria; Pseudomonadati; Acidobacteriota.